This 54-nucleotide non-coding RNA is filed under the name unclassified sequences. The record is from RNAcentral.
UCUGUAAUGCCACCGUUGGCGAUCUUAAGUCCGCAUGAAAAGGCAGAGAGAAGA